Molecule: long non-coding RNA, 312 nt
Filed under: Cricetulus griseus (Chinese hamster)
Lineage: Eukaryota; Metazoa; Chordata; Mammalia; Rodentia; Cricetidae
Description: lncRNA (ENSCGRG00015043416.1)
Source: RNAcentral
CUCCAGUUCAUUAUCUGACAUCUCAGAAACUCCCUAGCCCCAGCUAUUAAACCCAGUGCUACCUUCCAGGCAACAGCCCCCUUGUGAUUUUCAGUGUUCUAGGUGCUGACAUCCAGACAUGAGACACCAGGCCCAGCUUCAAUUUUUGUACCUUAAAGCCUGUACCACCAGGCUUUAUCCUGUUUCAUCAUGAAAGUGUUCCGUCUGUCCAGCUCAAGCUGGUGCCACUGUCUUCACUGGGAAACAACAGAGAAAACCCCAAGGGCUGGCGAGAUGGCUUACGUGUUCAAGGUGCUUGCAGCCAAGCCGGAC